RNAcentral lists this ribosomal RNA (433 nucleotides) under uncultured bacterium. RNAcentral's name for it is "partial 16S ribosomal RNA". It matches the Rfam family "Bacterial small subunit ribosomal RNA", at positions 29 to 507 of the family's 1533-position model. The record is from RNAcentral.
AACGAACGCUGGCGGCAUGCCUAACACAUGCAAGUCGAACGAGACCUUCGGGUCUAGUGGCGCACGGGUGCGUAACGCGUGGGAACCUGCCCUUAGGUUCGGAAUAACUCCCCGAAAGGGGUGCUAAUACCGGAUAAUGUCUUCCGACCAAAGAUUUAUCGCCUUUGGAUGGGCCCGCGUUGGAUUAGCUAGUUGGUAGGGUAAAAGCCUACCAAGGCGACGAUCCAUAGCUGGUCUGAGAGGAUGAUCAGCCACACUGGGACUGAGACACGGCCCAGACUCCUACGGGAGGCAGCAGUGGGGAAUAUUGGACAAUGGGCGAAAGCCUGAUCCAGCAAUGCCGCGUGAGUGAUGAAGGCCUUAGGGUUGUAAAGCUCUUUUACCCGGGAUGAUAAUGACAGUACCGGGAGAAUAAGCGCCGGCUAACUCCGUG